CGAACGAAACUUCUUUAUCACCGAGUGCUUGCACUCACCGAUAAAGAGUUGAGUGGCGAACGGGUGAGUAACACGUGGGCAACCUGCCCAAAAGAGGGGGAUAACACUUGGAAACAGGUGCUAAUACCGCAUAACCAUAGUUACCGCAUGGUAACUAUGUAAAAGGUGGCUAUGCUACCGCUUUUGGAUGGGCCCGCGGCGCAUUAGCUAGUUGGCGGGGUAAAGGCUUACCAAGGCAAUGAUGCGUAGCCGAACUGAGAGGUUAAUCGGCCACAUUGGGACUGAGACACGGCCCAAACUCCUACGGGAGGCAGCAGUAGGGAAUCUUCCACAAUGGGCGAAAGCCUGAUGGAGCAACGCCGCGUGGGUGAAGAAGGUCUUCGGAUCGUAAAACCCUGUUGUUAGAGAAGAAAGUGCGUGAGAGUAACUGUUCACGUUUCGACGGUAUCUAACCAGAAAGCCACGGCUAACUACGUGCCAGCAGCCGCGGUAAUACGUAGGUGGCAAGCGUUAUCCGGAUUUAUUGGGCGUAAAGGGAACGCAGGCGGUCUUUUAAGUCUGAUGUGAAAGCCUUCGGCUUAACCGGAGUAGUGCAUUGGAAACUGGGAGACUUGAGUGCAGAAGAGGAGAGUGGAACUCCAUGUGUAGCGGUGAAAUGCGUAGAUAUAUGGAAGAACACCAGUGGCGAAAGCGGCUCUCUGGUCUGUAACUGACGCUGAGGUUCGAAAGCGUGGGUAGCAAACAGGAUUAGAUACCCUGGUAGUCCACGCCGUAAAC
Molecule: ribosomal RNA, 777 nt
Filed under: uncultured bacterium
Lineage: Bacteria
Description: bacterial SSU rRNA
Rfam family: Bacterial small subunit ribosomal RNA
Source: RNAcentral